RNAcentral lists this non-coding RNA (69 nucleotides) under Streptomyces nanshensis. Lineage: Bacteria; Bacillati; Actinomycetota; Actinomycetes; Kitasatosporales; Streptomycetaceae. The record is from RNAcentral.
CUUCACCGCCCCCAGGUACAGCGGUUUCCUGCGGCUCUGCCCGUAGGUGGCGAGGAGGGCCUGUGCCUC